This is a regulatory RNA element of 113 nucleotides. It matches the Rfam family "PyrR binding site". From Rfam's summary of the family: This family represents the PyrR binding site and terminator structure. This RNA structure is found upstream of a variety of genes involved in pyrimidine biosynthesis and transport. The alignment also includes a portion of the antiterminator structure. The record is from Rfam.
UGAACCUUUAAAGCGGUCCAGUGAGACCGAGAAGGAAAACGGAUUAAUUGGCUGACCUUAUGUUGCCAAUGUUAAAAAAUCCCCAUGCCUUCUUGGUAUGGGGAUUUUUUAAU